CUGCGUAAUAACGCUGCGCACACGUCUAACGGAUGCUUGUACGUGCUCGUAUUAGUGAUACCUACAUAGUUAAUUAAUAAGGACCAUAUAACACCGUCAAAAUCGCAAACGGAAAGGAAUAUGAAGAUUACAUUCUGAUAAAUCAGAAAGAGCAGUUUAUAAAGGACAGAAAAAUCAUGACGUGGCGCAUAAAACAGUCAGUUAACCACACUCAGCUUCCGAUCAAAAUAGUGCAUUUUCACGCCGAACAAAGAAAGCAGUUAACCAACAUUUUAUUACCGCAAUGUGACAUUUGAAGUUUAACUAUGAUUUCAAGUCUGAUAUUUGUUUACAAUUUGAAUUAGACCUGUUUGUAAAAUGACAGUAAUAAUAAGAAUA
Long non-coding RNA from Megachile rotundata (alfalfa leafcutting bee), 378 nucleotides. The record is from RefSeq and is a predicted model, not a curated record. Lineage: Eukaryota; Metazoa; Arthropoda; Insecta; Hymenoptera; Megachilidae.